CCCCUUCAUGAGGAAGAGAUUGUAUCCUACCUAUUGGCAAGACUUGGUUCCGAGUAUGACCCUAUAGUCACGAGUGUUACCACUCGCACUGAUUUAGUAACUAUGGGAGAUUUGUUUGCUCAUUUGUUGAGCUUUGAGC
Molecule: small nucleolar RNA, 139 nt
Organism: Dioscorea cayenensis subsp. rotundata (Guinea yam)
Lineage: Eukaryota; Viridiplantae; Streptophyta; Magnoliopsida; Dioscoreales; Dioscoreaceae
Product: small nucleolar RNA Z247
Exons: 1
Source: RefSeq, a predicted model, not a curated record